RNAcentral lists this ribosomal RNA (253 nucleotides) under uncultured bacterium. RNAcentral's name for it is "partial 16S ribosomal RNA". It matches the Rfam family "Bacterial small subunit ribosomal RNA", at positions 524 to 776 of the family's 1533-position model. The record is from RNAcentral.
GACAGAGGGUGCAAGCGUUGUUCGGAAUUACUGGGCGUAAAGCGCGUGUAGGCGGCCCUGCAAGUCGGAUGUGAAAUCCCACGGCUCAACCGUGGAAGUGCAUUCGAAACUGCAGGGCUAGAGUCCUGGAGAGGAAGGUGGAAUGCUUGGUGUAGAGGUGAAAUUCGUAGAUAUCAAGCGGAACACCGGUGGCGAAGGCGGCCUUCUGGACAGUGACUGACGCUGAGACGCGAAAGCGUGGGGAGCGAACAGG